AGCCCAAAACGGUAAACGAAAACUGCGACUUGCAGGCGUGCAUUUAGCCCAAUCUUUGUGCACAUUUGCUAAGGAGAUCGUUGGAGCUCUCGCGAUGACGCAUGCCGCUCUUCACUACAGCCGGAACGGAUUUAACCUCACUUGUGCGGCGACAGCGCAGCUGUCGCUAAAUGUUUGUUAAUCUCGCGAUGGUGAGUGCGCCUGGGCUGCAAUCCUUGCGGAUGUGCGGGCAACGUGCUAUAAACUAACAUUUAAUUGAAGUUACUCACAUUUUGACUGUUCCCUUUGGCCCCAAAUUGGUGCGCAUUACAUCCUGCAAGCCUUUGGCUGCGCUGAUGUUAAUUGCCAGCGCCUGUGCAGCACGGGCAAAUUCGGCUUUUGGGUUUAACAAGCUGAUGGAAGCCAUUUCUGUGUUUUACGUAUCAACAAAUUGAAAAUUGAGAGAAUUGAAUUCAGUAGCAACAAACACGCCGACUAUAUGCUGAUGAAGAAUCACAAAACAAUCGGGGGAGCUAUCGAGCUAAUCGCAGCUGCCUAUUCGAUAUGCAAUCGAAUACUUAUUAGAUUAUCAAUUAGCAAAUAUAUAAUCAAAUCACAAUUAAGGAUUAUAAAACAGAGACACGAAACAAAAUCCAUAAAUGUUUCUCAAUCGUAUAUAGUAUUAUGAAUCCUUUUGGACUUAAUAUAAUAAAUAUAUAUAUAUAUGCAAUAGUA
Long non-coding RNA from Drosophila grimshawi, 714 nucleotides. RefSeq lists it as uncharacterized. The record is from RefSeq and is a predicted model, not a curated record. NCBI's taxonomy places the organism in Eukaryota, Metazoa, Arthropoda, Insecta, Diptera, Drosophilidae. The transcript has 2 exons.